AUUGAACGCUGGCGGCAUGCCUUACACAUGCAAGUCGAACGGCAGCACGGACUUCGGUCUGGUGGCGAGUGGCGAACGGGUGAGUAAUAUAUCGGAACAUACCCUAGAGUGGGGGAUAACGUAGCGAAAGUUACGCUAAUACCGCAUACGAACUAAGGUUGAAAGUGGGGGAUCGCAAGACCUCAUGCUCAUGGAGUGGCCGAUAUCUGAUUAGCUAGUUGGUGAGGUAAAGGCUCACCAAGGCGACGAUCAGUAGCUGGUUUGAGAGAACGACCAGCCACACUGGAACUGAGACACGGUCCAGACUCCUACGGGAGGCAGCAGUGGGGGAAUAUUGGACAAUGGGCGAAAGCCUGAUCCAGCCAUGCCGCGUGUGUGAAGAAGGUCUUCGGGUUGUAAACUGCUUUGUACGGACGAAACGGUGAGCUCUAAUACAGUUUGCUAAUGACGGUACCGUAAGAAUAAGCACCGGCUAACUACGUGCCAGCA
RNAcentral lists this ribosomal RNA (489 nucleotides) under uncultured bacterium. RNAcentral describes it as "bacterial SSU rRNA". It matches the Rfam family "Bacterial small subunit ribosomal RNA", at positions 30 to 513 of the family's 1533-position model. The record is from RNAcentral.